AUUGAACGCUGGCGGCAGGCCUAACACAUGCAAGUCGAACGAGUGGCGGACGGGUGAGUAAUGUCUGGGAAACUGCCUGAUGGAGGGGGAUAACUACUGGAAACGGUAGCUAAUACCGCAUACCAUCGGAUGUGCCCAGAUGGGAUUAGCUAGUAGGUGGGGUAACGGCUCACCUAGGCGACGAUCCCUAGCUGGUCUGGGAGGUUGACCAGCCACACUGGACCUGAGACACGGUCCAGACUCCUACGGGAGGCAGCAGUGGGGAAUAUUGCACAAUGGCGGAAACCCUGAUGCAGAAACGCCGCGUGCGGGAUGACGGCUUUCGGGUUGUAAACAGCUUUCAGCCAUGACGCGGUAGUGGCAGAAGAAGCACCGGCUAACUACGUGCCAGCAGCCGCGGUAAUUC
RNAcentral lists this ribosomal RNA (406 nucleotides) under uncultured bacterium. RNAcentral describes it as "partial 16S ribosomal RNA". It matches the Rfam family "Bacterial small subunit ribosomal RNA", at positions 30 to 526 of the family's 1533-position model. The record is from RNAcentral.